Molecule: ribosomal RNA, 253 nt
Filed under: uncultured bacterium
Lineage: Bacteria
Description: partial 16S ribosomal RNA
Rfam family: Bacterial small subunit ribosomal RNA
Source: RNAcentral
UACGUAGGGUGCAAGCGUUGUCCGGAAUUAUUGGGCGUAAAGAGCGUGUAGGCGGCCCGAUUAGUCCGCUGUGAAAGUCCAGGGCUCAACCCUGGAAUGCCGGUGGAUACUGUCGGGCUAGAGUCCGGAAGGGGCGAGUGGAAUUCCUGGUGUAGCGGUGAAAUGCGCAGAUAUCAGGAGGAACACCAAUGGCGAAGGCGGCCUGCUGGGACAUGGCUGACGCUGAGGCGCGACAGCGUGGGGAGCAAACAGG